UUACAUGUAUUUGUAUAUAUAGAUAUAUAGAUACAUACCAUAUCUUCUUUAUCCAUUCAUUGUUGAUGGACACAUAGUUUGCUUCCAUGUCAUGGCUCCUGUGAGUAGUGCAGCUGUGAACCUUUGGGUGCCUGGAGUUGCUGGAUCAUAUAGUAGUUCUAUUUUCAGUUUUUUUGAGAAAUCUGCAUACUAUUUUCCCCAGUUUGGUGCACCAAUUUACAUUGCCAUCAACAGUUACAAGGGUUCUCUUUUCCCCCAUUCUGGCCAAAAUUUGUUAUUUGUGUUCUUUUUAAUGAUAGCCAUUCUGACAAGUGUAAGGUGAUAUUUCAUUGUGGUUUUGGUUUGAAUUUCUCUGAGAAUUAGCAACAUUGAGCAUAUUUUUAGAUGCCUAUUGUCCAUCUGCAUUUCCUCUUUGGAAAAAUGUCUAUUCAGGUCUUCUAUCCAUUUUUUAAUCGGGUGACAAACAGGCGGUUUUGAUUAGCCUAAAUCUCAAGUUAAAUAAUGCUUUUGAACUUGAACUAGAACUUUACCUGGGUCUCCAAUCUGCUGUCCAACCCUAAAGAUUUUGUACCUACCAAGCUACCACAGUUGCAUGAGCCAAGUCUUUGAAACAAAUCUUUCUUUUUAUGUCUGUGUAUGUAGGUAUGUACAUACGUACGUGUGUAUGUACAUAUGUGUAUAUGUAUGUAUGUAUGUAUCUAUCUAUCUAUGCUAUAUACACUUCCUGUUGGUUUCAUUUUUCUGGAGAAACCUAACACACUCCACUUAGCUAGAUUAUCUACAGUAGCCUCACUUCCAUGUCCAGUGUUUGGUACAGGCUAUUGGCUGGUUGGAUGUUUUUUUCCUAUCAUUGCUGUUUUUCCUAUUUUUUUCUCAUGGAACAGGGAGUGAAAUUUUGAUGGUGAGAAAACUAGUUUCAGCUAUAUUUUGAAGCCCAGUUAUAUUUCAUUUCAAUGGUUUUGAAAAUUAUACAACCUUAGAUAUUAAUUAAAUUAUAGUGUAUUUUUAGAAGUGUUAAUAGCCAAAAUAAGUGAUAAUUUAUAUUAUUCCUGGCUCAAAUUAUCCUAAAAAUAUGUCACUGGAUCCUAUAUUUUGCUAACAAAAUCUGCUUAAACAUUUAAUAUAUUAUUAUUUUAACUUUAAAUAGCAGUGGCCCUAACCUGAAAAGGCCUUCUUUGAUAGAUAUCAAGGAACCUAGUGAUUGGAGUAUAGCUAUGACCUUUCUUAUUAAAUAUGUUGUGUGAGUGCAUAUUGGUUUUGUAUAUCUAUGUAUGCAUGCACUCACACAUAAUUUGUUUUAUAUUUUAUUUUUGUUUAUAUUACAUAUUUGUGUAUUUAUGUAAUAUAUAUACAUUUAUAAGCAUAUAUACAUUUAUAGUAACAGCAUAUAAUAUUCUCAAGUAUAUCUAGGUGAACUUUAUUUUUACGCCAUCAACAAAAUCAUAAAAAUUCUAAUAAUUUGGACUCAUUAAACCUAGUCGGUGUUAUCAGCUACCGUCCACGUGGGGGCAAGAUAUCCUAAAGCAAGAUAAAAUCCUUGGCAAAGAAGCCAAGCAGGAGAUCCGUCCUUAGCCUAGGCUUAACAUCCACAUCUGUCAAAUUAUACACAUUUAUGUAUUACAGUGUUGAAAGGGCUUUCACAAACCGCUUCUGUGGAAUCCUCAUAGAUGUUCUGUGACCUUUACUUUGUAACUGGGGAAACCAAGGUCAGAGUGUUCCUAAAUCAAGUUCGUUCGCCCUAAUGACGUGAGCCAAAUGCUGAGACAAGAAGGUUGGCAGCAGAGGGUUUAUUCCUGAGGGAGCUACUCCAGAAGAUGAGAGAACAAAUCUCAAAUCAGCCUCUCCGAAGGCGAUGAGCUCUGGAAUUUUAAAGAAUAAAGAAGCAAGGUGAUUGGAGGUGCAGGGGAAGGUUAUUGGUGGCAGGAAAAGGUGUGGUAAUAGCUGCUUUGCUGCACACUUAUCUGAGUUACAUGCUUCAUGGGCCAGGUGCUUGAAAAUGAUGAGCUUAUUUAUCAUGACAUGAGUUUCUGGUCCUUUGACAUCAAAAGGAUAUCCAUCAGACACUCAGGCCAGGCUCAAUUGAAUGGUCAAUGGUCUCAACCAGUUUGAACUAGGCAAGAUUAACUCCCUGUUCCACAAAAACAAUUUAAGCAUAGGUUGUUAGAGUGACCCAUACAUCAGAGGUGUUAUCUAUAGAAGCAAAUUAAAGGAAUCUUAUGAUAUAUUGUCUAAGCUAUGUGAAGCUUGUAGGGUAUGCAAUUUUCAAGAACAAUUCAAGUAAGCUUGAUCAGUAAAGGCCGGUUACAGCAUACUACUUGGUAAGUAAGUUAUAGUUUAAGGGAUCUGAUGACUACCCUCAAUUUCAAGAGAUGCUGAAAAUUUCCUGACAAUUGGAAGCUGGAACAACAUCUUAUUUUCAGCGCUUACGUAUUUCUUAUUACAUUACAUUUUGGCUGCAAAAUAAUAGUGACAAAAUCACGGCUGAAACUUCUGUAUAUUUUUCAUUACUCCGUUGUCAUUAAUUAAAACUGCCACCUCUGCAGAAAGUAGUUUUCAGGAGAAAAUGAAAUUUAGAAAUUAUUUUUAAAAUUUAAAAUCCUUAGAAAUCCUUGAUGAAGACAUUCCAAGGUGUCGUUAUUAUUAUUUUUUUUCCUCUAGAUUUUUCUGAAGCACAAUGAAGUCUGAAAACCACUAGACUGGGUAAUUGGACACACUGCAAAUGAUUAGGAAAAUAAAUAGCAUUUUAUAUAAUUUAAUGAGUAAAGAACUGAUGUCUUGUUUCUAAAAUUUGGAAAAUCAACUUUAUAAUAAGAAACUAGCAACCAUAAAUUUUCCACUUUUAAUUUUGAGAAUAAGUAUUGAUUGGAAUACUGUAUAGCACACACACAAUUCAUAUUGCUCUAAUUUAUGAACUGCUAUGAGCAACUAUUGAAAAUGAAUUAUCUGACCUCUAUUUUUUUCAAUCAUUUAAAAGAAUUGUGUCUCCAUAUCUAUGCAGGAACAAGAGAAGAAGUUAAAAGAAGAAAAUACUGAGAGACAGAAAAGGAAUAUGCACCAUCUAGACCAGUAUUUGACCACCGGGCACCACAGCCUGGCCAAGUUGAGACAUAAAAUUAGCCAUCACGCCAUGACCUGUGAACUCAAAAUUGGCUGUGAACAAACUUCCAGAAGUCUGCCAGUUUUGACUCAAGGCUCGCUGUAUUCGAAAGAGGUAAGUAUAUGGAGGAAUCCAUCUAUGCAUGCUCUGGUUAAAUGAACCAGUAGCCCAAUUUGAGGCCAGGUCAUGGGAGAUGGGUAUCAGUUGAGUGUGUGUUCAGCACCAGAUGGGCCCACAAUUAGCCUUUCUACAGCUUCCUCUAUGGCCCUGAGCACAGUAUAAAAUUGGAGUUCAUAAUUAAAAUGCUAUCUAGAUUCUGCUAAACUUUGAUUUCUGUAACACAGAGAACUCAACGCUUUGUAGUUUAGAAAUAGCCAGUACUGUUCUGGCAACCAAUCAGUAAAAGGCCUUAAGGACUCUUACCCUGAUAGGGAACUCUUUCUCUUAGCAGCAGUCAAAGUUGUGGAAAAGCAGGGCUUGCAUUGGGGCCUUAAGGCCAUACUUUGCUGAGAUACUAUCUCCUGUGCUAUCCUGUAUCUGUGCCAGUAAUUACAUCUUUGACUCUAUUAAGGCAAAGCAGAAAGUUCUGCUGGCAUCUGCAAACCCUAUCUUGCUGAUCUCCAUGCUCCCCUGAGGCCACUUGUUUGGCUUCCUUUUGCCUCAGUUCCUCCCCUGGUUCUUCCUAAGACCAAUCUGAUUGAUUAUGUACACCUUUGUCCAAGACCCUGUUUUAAGAAAAGCACCCACCUAAGAUUAAAUCAUACCUCCCAAACCAGUAUACCAUAUGAUUGACAUAAAGCCUCUUAUCAAGGCUGCAGGGGUCAAGAAUGGCUCAAUGUAACCCAUCUUAAAGCACCCAGGUCAAAAACCUCACCUUUUAUAUUAAAGUUAAAGGGACAUAACCAAAUGCCCUCCCUAUGCUGAAAGACUCUCCUUGAAUAUGUUUUAUGUACAGAUUUUGAAUUAUUUUUCAAUGUUCUCAUCCUAAGCACAAAUAGAUCCAUGUUCUGUGCAAUAUUAAGAAAUAAAACAAGGUUAAAGGCAGAGCCAAAAUAUUACUACUGAUAGGGGCCAAGCUGGGAAACAUGACUUCAGGUCUCAGGCAAAGAGUUACUAAACCCCAGAGGUAGAAUGUAUCCCUUAAGAAAGAAAAUAUAUAUAUUCUUGGGAGAGAGAUAGAAAGAUUAAUUAUAGGAAUUGGCUUGAGACUUUGAAGACUGAGAAACUCCACAAUCUGCCAUCUGCAGGCUGGUGAUACAAUUCCAUCCCAAUCCAAAAACUUGAGAACCAGGAGAGACAAUGCUGUAAGUCUCAGUCUGAGUCUAAAGGCCUGAGAAACAGGAGUGCUGAUGAUUGAAGGUGGGAGAUGAAUGACCCAUGUGAAGUAAAGAGCAAAUUUGUCCUUCUCCUGCUUGUUGUUCUAUCCAGGGCUCAGUGGAUUGAUGCCUCAUCUGUACUUGUGUUGGUGAGGAUGAUCUUUUUUACAUAUUCUAUUAGUUCAAAUGUUCAUCACUUACAGGAAACACCCCCACAGAUAUACCUAGACAUGUUUUACCAGCUCUCUGGGCAUUCUUUCAUUCAAUCAAGUUAACACAUAAAAUUAAAUCAUUAUACAAGGAAACCCACAAAUAUAAAAUCUUGAGCAAAAAAGGAGCAUUUUUCUGAGGAAAAAGCAUUUUUCUGAGGAAGACAUACAGAUGGCCAUUAGGCACAUGAAGGAAAAAAAAAGGUCGUGUAAGAUGUUCACGCCAAAAAUAAUAAAAAUAAGCUUAAGAUAAAUUAAAGAAAUCCCAUAUAAAAGGAUGUGUGCUGGACACUUGUCACUUCACAGCUCAAUUGAUACAUUAAAUGAAAUCCCAAUACAGAUCAUAACAGUUUUUUAAUAGAAAUUGACAUCCUAAAAUGUAAAAUGUGUAUGGAAAUGCAAAAGGCCAAGAUUGACAAGACAAUCUUGAAAAAAAAAAACUGAAAGCAUUAUAUUAUCAGAUUUUAAGUUAGAUUAUUAAGCUAUAUUAAAGCAGUGUGGUGCUCAUGUAAGAGUAAAAAAGUAAGCCUAUAGAAUAAAAUAGAAUCCAGAAACUGACCCACAUAUAUAUGAGCCAUGGAUUUGUAAUAUACCUGGCUGUAGUACUGUGAAGAAAAAUUGGUCUUUUUAAUACAGUCAUCCCUUGGUAUGCAAGGGGAAUUUGUUCUUAGACUCAGGGGUACCAAAAUCCAUGGAUGCUCAAGUCCCACAUUUGGGUCUCUGUAUCCAUGGUCCUGAAUCCAUGGAUCCAAUCAACCACAGAUUAUGUACUGCUUCCUACACGCAUUUCAAAAAUAAAAAAAAAUUUUUAAAAAUCCACAUAUUGGUGCAAUUAAAAACCCGUUUUGUUCAAGGGUCAACUUUAAAUUGUACUAGUUCCACUGGGUAUCUCUAUGGGGGAUUUUAACAAUACAAAUAGACAGUAGAUUUAUAUGUGAAAGGAAACCAAAUAAUAUUUCAUAAAAAAUAGAUUUUAAUGAUGUGAUAGUAAGCAAACAACUCAUAUAAGAUAUAAAGUCUCAUUAUAAAGGAAGAAUUAUGAAUUGGACUAAGAAUAUCAAAAGAUACCACUAAGAGACAAAAACUCAAGUCACAAAACUAAGGAAAAUAUUUGAAAUAAUAUAAUACAAAAUGGACUUACAAACAAUAUAUAUGCCCUUAUAUGCACAUACAUACCUAUGUAUAAAUACACACACUCACAUACCAAGAUUCUGUACAAAGACAUAUAACUUUAAAUCAAUAAAAAAUAUAGCACGGAGAAAAAUAAGCAAGAGAUUUGAAAAGGAAUUCACAAAAAAAGGAUGUUAAAAUGAUAAUUUACCAUGAAAAGUCACUCAUUUUUAUCAGUCAAUAGGGAAAAGAAAUUAUAACCACAGCAUCAUACACAUCUACGAACAUGACUAGAAAGAAAUUACAUAAAAUACUAAGUCAUGUGGAGAAUAUGGGACUAAAACUCUCAUGCACCUGCUAGUGUAGUUAAUAACCAGCCCAACUAAUUUGGAAACCGCUUCAGCAGCAUGUCUUAAACCUGCGUGUAUCAUAUUAUCUAGCAAUUUAAUUCUUAGGUUGAGCUUAAGGAAGAUACACCAAAAAUAUGAAUAUCAAAACCAUGAACAAAAACAUUCAUAGCAGAAGUAUUUAUAAAAACCAAACUGGACACCCUUCAAAUGCCCAUCAAGAGAAAAUAAAUGUUGGUAUAUUCCCAAGAUGGAAUAUUAUAUAGAGUUGAAAAUGGGGGCGGUGAAAGAACUACAAGUGCAUUCAACAUGAGUAAACCUCCUAAUCAUAAUAUUGAAUGAAAAAAGUCAGAAGACUAAAAGAGUCCAUCUGUAUCAUUCCAUUACUAUAAAUUUCAGAAAAAGGCAAAUCAAAUCUCUGGUUUUAGAAAUCAGGAUAGUGGUUUUCAUUGUGGGAAAUAUUGACUGGAAAGUGAUACAAGUGAGGGGAAGACUCACAUGUUAAUGUCAUUCUGUUUGUUGAGAUACGGAGCUGGUUACUCAGAUAUGUUUACUUGGGAAGAUUUAUCUGGAUACUAAUGAUUUUUUCACUUCAGUAUGUCUGUUAUAUUUCCAACAAAGUAAACCUGCGCUGCUGAUAGAAAAUUCAGACAUUGGGAUAGAACUUUUACACCACUCAAAUAUAUGCCUUGACCUGUAGGCUGCUAUGAAAAGAUUUUAUUUUGUAUCUAUUUACUGUAUAUCAUUGUCUCUUUCUGGUUUACUUCUCUUGUGUUUUGAUUUCUUUGCAGAGGUCCCCUGUGCUUCAAGCCUGACUCCAAAAUAUUUCAACAGGAACAAUUCAGGAAAAGCUAUUGGAGCAUACGGUUUCCACAUAUACUAAUCUAUUUAGAAGUUAGGUCCUAUACAAAAAAAGUAAUAAUUACCCAGGGAACAAGCAAAAAUGUUCUUGGUGAAACUGAGUUGACACCAAUGGUUUAAGCAAAUGAAUAGUCCACACACUGAGCAAACCGUACUUGGAAAAGUUACCCGUUUCUUUUAUUUUGAAACACAGCGCACUUUUGGCUAAAAGCCCAGUGUUGAGUUGUAUAAUUCAGUGAACUUUCUUCUUCCUUUCAAAUUACUUUGAACCACUGAGUUGGUUUUAUUUGUUUAAUUGUUUGAAUUUUCAAAUAUGAAUCCAAUUGGUACAAAAGUAAUGUCUCCUAUCUGUCUAUCAUCUAUCUAUAAUCAUCUAACUAUCUAUGUUUCUAUCUGCCUAAUUUAUCCACCUGGCAGUUACUUGGAAAACAAGAAUAGUUAGUCUUCAUCACUUAGAAAUCGCAAUAGAUAGUACAGACAUUAAAUCACCUUUGGCGCUUAUAAAAAAUUAAUAAUCUGGGGACUUAUCCAAGCUAUCUUAUCAAAAUCUCCAGGGGCAACCAUGAGAACCUUACUUUCUUUACAUAUGCUUUCAAUAAGCUCAGGAAUUUUGGUACUCUUGUUAUUAGGACUAGAAGGAAGGAGACACACAGGAAAGAAAUUGCAAGGAAAUAUUUUGCUCUUUCUGCUCCUUCUUCUCUCAUAUUCAAAGUUGCACAGGAAGUUUCUCCAUAAGAUUUAUGGCAGUUUGUUCUCUUCCUCCCUGAAUAGGAAAGAACAGGACAGAGCACGGUCAGACCCCAUCUUAUGAAGAGGCUGCAUUACAAAAACUAUUAGUCAUUUACUUGGACUCCAUGCAUUUUACCCAAGACAUUCCUUUCUAAUUAUAUCACUUGAAACGUAUAUUAACUUAGAUAAGCUUGAACUAAGCUAUUGCUAUCCUUAUUUAAGCAGUAAACAAGUACAAAUUAUGACAUGGCUUAUGGAAGAAAAGCAUUCACAAAUCUAAACUUCACGGGUUUGUAGGCAGUACCUGUGCUUCAGUGGGGCUCUGAGACAGGGUGGGACUUGGAACCUUUACGUUGUCAGCUUGGACACUAUUAUCUAAUUAUGCUCACGAGAAUGUUUUGAGAGAAAAUCAAAUAGGUAAUAUCUGAAGGCGAUUACUUACAUGUAAUUCUAUAUAAUGUCAUAUAAUGAUUAAGAGCAUCAUUUGGAGUUAAGCAGACAUACCUUUGAAUUUUAGUUCAAAGUUUCAGUUCCUCACCUGAAAAAUGGAUGUCCUGCUAUUUCUAUAAGAUUGUCUGACAUUGGAUAAAUGAUCAGUAAAAAUGGUACUAAAAUAUAAAAUGUAAUAAAACUAUAAUCUUUGUCACAUG
Molecule: non-coding RNA, 8319 nt
Organism: Sus scrofa (pig)
Lineage: Eukaryota; Metazoa; Chordata; Mammalia; Artiodactyla; Suidae
Source: RefSeq, a predicted model, not a curated record